CUUUAAAAAACAACUAUCCACUAGCAAUUUUACUCUUUGACGCAUCAAACUCUAGAAACACUGAAUCGAAAUCAAUGCAAUCGUAGAAGAAUUUAAAAUAGUGUUUGAAGAACACUUAAGAACUUUCUAAAACAAAAAAAGAACUUGAAGAACAGAGAAGAGAAACUCGCCAAAAUCUUUAAAGCUUCUUGAAGUCUAUCUAAGUCACUUGAAAAAUGAAGGAUAUGAUAUUUUAAAAUGUAGAAAUUAAAGUUGCAUGCAUGCCAUUUGUUGAGCUUACCACAAGGCAAGUGUCUUGUGUGGGGUAACACAUUAAAGCUGCACGAUUUUCGAGCUGUGCAGACAACAAUUAAUAAUAAAAUAAUUAUAUACGUAUAUAAAUAAGAAAAGGCCUUAUACCAAUUACGGUGGCAAGAAGAAAGUCUUUGCAGUAAGAAAAAGUCUACGUGCCAAUUAAAUUUUGUUUGAAAUUUUUUUUGGCAAAUAGUCUUAUUUUAUUUGUUUAUAGUAAAGUUCUUUAGUAGAAAGUGAUGGAGAAUUCUUUGUGCAAUUUGAAAAAGUCUUUGAGUAAGAAAAAGUCUAUCUAUUAAUUAAGGGAG
This 599-nucleotide long non-coding RNA is filed under the name Olea europaea subsp. europaea. Lineage: Eukaryota; Viridiplantae; Streptophyta; Magnoliopsida; Lamiales; Oleaceae. The record is from RNAcentral.